This 245-nucleotide ribosomal RNA is filed under the name uncultured Roseomonas sp. Its description in RNAcentral is "partial 16S ribosomal RNA". It matches the Rfam family "Bacterial small subunit ribosomal RNA", at positions 524 to 768 of the family's 1533-position model. The record is from RNAcentral. Lineage: Bacteria; Pseudomonadati; Pseudomonadota; Alphaproteobacteria; Acetobacterales; Roseomonadaceae.
UACGAAGGGGGCUAGCGUUACUCGGAAUUACUGGGCGUAAAGGGCGCGUAGGCGGCGUUCCAAGUCAGGCGUGAAAGCCCUGGGCUCAACCUGGGGACUGCGCUUGAUACUGGAGUGCUUGAGGAUGGAAGAGGGUUGUGGAAUUCCCAGUGUAGAGGUGAAAUUCGUAGAUAUUGGGAAGAACACCGGUGGCGAAGGCGGCAACCUGGUCCAUUUCUGACGCUGAGGCGCGAUAGCGUGGGGAG